AGCCACAGUGUGUUUCCAGCUGAGGAACAUUCACGGCUGUACUAACAAGGCUCACUCUGUUGGUUUAUGAAGAGUCGGACUUAGGAACAAUUCUCCUUUAACGGAACUCGUGUUGUUGGCAAUUGAACUCGGGGCCAUCAUGAAUGCCAGGCGAAUGUCCAGCCCUGAGUGACGUGGCUGGCUCAUUUAGGACGACUCUGGAGCUGUGUGUGACCAGGCAGGAAAGGUGUGUGACUGCACUUGGACAGAAGGCUGCCCAGGAGCAACUCUGCUGUUCCCUGUGCGGCCUUGAAGACAGGACAGAAGGUGUCUGAGCCCAGGGACUGCUGCCUGCAGGACUGGUACCCCAGGGAACCGGCUGACUUCCGGAAACUCCGAGGAAGUACUCUGGCUGCUCUUCUCCCAAUACAGUCAGUCACAGACA
Cavia porcellus (domestic guinea pig) is the source of this 424-nucleotide long non-coding RNA. RefSeq lists it as uncharacterized. The transcript is spliced from 3 exons. The record is from RefSeq and is a predicted model, not a curated record. NCBI's taxonomy places the organism in Eukaryota, Metazoa, Chordata, Mammalia, Rodentia, Caviidae.